This 1700-nucleotide unclassified non-coding RNA is filed under the name Leishmania donovani. Its description in RNAcentral is "gene:LdHU3.20.0730(CDS-product:RWD_domain-contain ing_protein)". The record is from RNAcentral. Lineage: Eukaryota; Euglenozoa; Kinetoplastea; Trypanosomatida; Trypanosomatidae.
GUUUGCGACGUUGUCGAUCACACACACACACACAAACACACAGACACACAGGUAAAACGCACGGACGCGCACACCGCAUCCGAAAUUUACGCGAAGAGUACGCGUGGAAGCGCGUACAGACAAACCAAAGAGGUUGAGAAGGAGCGAGUGGGACGGCGUGCAAGUCGUGAAAGGGCGUGUGUUUGCGUGUUCCUUCUCCUGCACGCUUCUGUCAGGGCGUUAGCCAUCGCUGGUGACGCAGGCCUUCUCGCCUCUGUCGAGGUCAAUACUGCUCGCGCGCGUCUCCGGGCCGCCCGCGCUACAUUGGACGGCGCAUCGCAGGCACGUCUGUGGGUCAAAGAAGGUUAGCGAGUAUUCGGAACGGCGCGCACCGUUUGCGCUCACCUUAGCCAUGCCACCACCGACCGAAAUGCAGGAGAUGGAGAUGGAGAUGGUGCAGGGUAUGUACGACACGUACGAGCGCCUCUCGGACGACCCGCCGUCGUACUGCGUCUCCUUAGCCGCCACGCAGGAUGAGCCGCCGCAGCUGAGAGUGAUCAUCACCUACCCCACCGAGGAGUACCCGGAAUCGGCACCGUGCGUUGUCGCGGUAGAGUGCAUCUCCAAGGCGCGCCGCAUCCCGGUCGGCGCCAUCACCAAGCAAAUCGCCAGCACAUGCGAGGAGAACAUCGGCAUGCACAGCGUUGUGCUGGUGCUGCAGCAGGUGCAGGAGUUUCUGUCGCGCGCUGUCGAGGAAGAGGAGAAGGCGGACCUGCUGCGCCGCGGCGAGGUGAUGGCGUCUGAGGCCGCAAAGCGCACCGGCGCAGUGGAGGAGGACCCGACCAUCCGAGUCGGUGCCGCCGUCACGCGGGAACUCUUCGAGGAGUGGAGCCGCAAGCACAACGCUGAGAAGGCCAAGGCACGGGCGGAGCGCGAGAAGAAAGCGGUGAAGGUGUCCGCCUCCAAACUGUCAGGCCGUCAGCUCUGGGAUAAUAGUCUGAAGUCCGCGGACUGGGCGCUGUUUGGAGGCGAGGCCGAAGAAGACGGCGUCGAGAACGUGGACUUCGGCUCCAUGAAGGAUCUCGACGAGGAUGAGUUUGAUCUCGAGUAAGGAGCGUCUGGGGAAGGGGGAAAGCAAGGGGGCGUGGGUCUGACCGGUGAGACGUUGGUGCCCCCCCCCCACACACACACACGGACACACCAAAAACCCGUCGUUGAGUUGAUGGACACACUAUCUGUAAUCGCAGACGCCGCUGUUGCUUUCCUUGUUCCUUUCCUCCCAGCUCAACGGCUGCGAAUGCGGCGCGCCCACACGUAUCCCAUGAAACAUGCACGCCCUUCAGCGUGCAAACGUCGCCUCAGCCGCGCCACGCGAGUGUAGCGAGAGAGGCGGAGAGACGCCCCCCUCGACCUCCAUACAUACACACGAAAAGCGUGAAGGCUUAUCAUGCCAUUGAACGUCAAUGGGCGUUAUGGAGCAAGCUUUUGCGCAUCAACUCGAGACCUAAUCGAUGAGGGAGGGAGUUACUAGUGCUCCGUAGAGGAGUGGCAGCCUCGGAUAUCGUUCUUCCUCCCUGCUGCCUUGCUGCCCCGAAGUGUGUUCGCCGAGAGGCCAGCUGGGAGUAGCGGAAGGGCGGCUGAAGUUGUGGACGUGGUCCUACACGAACGCCAUGCACGCCUCCCGGAGGCGAGGAAAACACGGAAAACAGGAAGAAACCGAU